UGAGUAAGCCAAGUGACUGCGCCGAUUAUUAUCGGUGAGGAAAGUCCGAGCUCCACAGGACAAGGGUGCCGGAUAACGUCCGGUGAAGGCGACUUUAAGGAAAGUGCAACAGAAAUAAACCGCCGCGCUAAGCGCGGU
This 138-nucleotide RNase P RNA is filed under the name Clostridia bacterium. RNAcentral describes it as "partial RNase P RNA component class A". It matches the Rfam family "Bacterial RNase P class A", at positions 1 to 149 of the family's 367-position model. From Rfam's summary of the family: Ribonuclease P (RNase P) is a ubiquitous endoribonuclease, found in archaea, bacteria and eukarya as well as chloroplasts and mitochondria. Its best characterised activity is the generation of mature 5'-ends of tRNAs by cleaving the 5'-leader elements of precursor-tRNAs. The record is from RNAcentral. Lineage: Bacteria; Bacillati; Bacillota; Clostridia.